AGAGAUAAUGAGAAGAAGAACAUGAACUAAGCUUUGGAAAAAAUAGUCUGAGUUAUUAGGCAUUAACGAUAGAGGCAUCGGAAACGAGAAAAAGGAUAUUUUAGGAAUAAAAUUAAGAGAUCACUUUACCGGUUGAUGAAAAAAUCAUUUAGCCAUCUCCUGGAUGGAUAAAAUUUUUCUCCUAUUUCAUGGGUAAAUGCCACCCAUGGAAAAUAAUUUACCCAUCUUGAAAUCUGUGAGAACAUGGGUAAG
Molecule: long non-coding RNA, 252 nt
Filed under: Elaeis guineensis (African oil palm)
Lineage: Eukaryota; Viridiplantae; Streptophyta; Magnoliopsida; Arecales; Arecaceae
Description: long non-coding RNA (EGUI_LNC077820)
Source: RNAcentral